Molecule: ribosomal RNA, 471 nt
Filed under: uncultured bacterium
Lineage: Bacteria
Description: bacterial SSU rRNA
Rfam family: Bacterial small subunit ribosomal RNA
Source: RNAcentral
ACUGCCCUAUGGGUUGUAAACUUCUUUUAUAAAGGAAUAAAGUCGGGUAUGGAUACCCGUUUGCAUGUACUUUAUGAAUAAGGAUCGGCUAACUCCGUGCCAGCAGCCGCGGUAAUACGGAGGAUCCGAGCGUUAUCCGGAUUUAUUGGGUUUAAAGGGAGCGUAGAUGGAUGUUUAAGUCAGUUGUGAAAGUUUGCGGCUCAACCGUAAAAUUGCAGUUGAUACUGGAUAUCUUGAGUGCAGUUGAGGCAGGCGGAAUUCGUGGUGUAGCGGUGAAAUGCUUAGAUAUCACGAAGAACUCCGAUUGCGAAGGCAGCCUGCUAAGCUGCAACUGACAUUGAGGCUCGAAAGUGUGGGUAUCAAACAGGAUUAAAUACCCUGGUAGUCCACACGGUAAACGAUGAAUACUCGCUGUUUGCGAUAUACGGCAAGCGGCCAACCGAAAGCGUUAAGUAUUCCACCUGGGGAGCA